This 497-nucleotide ribosomal RNA is filed under the name uncultured bacterium. RNAcentral's name for it is "partial 16S ribosomal RNA". It matches the Rfam family "Bacterial small subunit ribosomal RNA", at positions 28 to 507 of the family's 1533-position model. The record is from RNAcentral.
GAUGAACGCUGGCGGCGUGCCUAAUACAUGCAAGUCGAGCGAACAGACGAGGAGCUUGCUCCUCUGACGUUAGCGGCGGACGGGUGAGUAACACGUGGAUAACCUACCUAUAAGACUGGGAUAACUUCGGGAAACCGGAGCUAAUACCGGAUAAUAUAUUGAACCGCAUGGUUCAAUAGUGAAAGACGGUUUUGCUGUCACUUAUAGAUGGAUCCGCGCCGCAUUAGCUAGUUGGUAAGGUAACGGCUUACCAAGGCAACGAUGCGUAGCCGACCUGAGAGGGUGAUCGGCCACACUGGAACUGAGACACGGUCCAGACUCCUACGGGAGGCAGCAGUAGGGAAACUUCCGCAAUGGGCGAAAGCCUGACGGAGCAACGCCGCGUGAGUGAUGAAGGUCUUCGGAUCGUAAAACUCUGUUAUUAGGGAAGAACAAAUGUGUAAGUAACUAUGCACGUCUUGACGGUACCUAAUCAGAAAGCCACGGCUAACUGCGUG